GACGAACGCUGGCGGCGUGCUUAACACAUGCAAGUCGAACGGUGAAGGGACUGGUUUUGCUGGUCCUGGAUGAGUGGCGAACGGGUGAGUAACACGUGAGUAACCUGCCCCCUUCCUCUGGAUAACCGCAUGAAAGUGUGGCUAAUACGGGAUAUUCUGGGUCUGUCGCAUGGUGGGCCUGGGAAAGAUUGCGCCUUUUUUGGUGUUUUUGGUGGGGGAUGGGCUCGCGGCCUAUCAGCUUGUUGGUGGGGUGAUGGCCUACCAAGGCGGUGACGGGUAGCCGGCCUGAGAGGGUGGACGGUCACACUGGGACUGAGACACGGCCCAGACUCCUACGGGAGGCAGCAGUGGGGAAUAUUGCACAAUGGGCGCAAGCCUGAUGCAGCGACGCCGCGUGAGGGAUGGAGGCCUUCGGGUUGUGAACCUCUUUCGCCAGUGAAGCAGGCCUGCCUCUUUUUGUGGGUGGGUUGACGGUAGCUGGAUAAGAAGCGCCGGCUAACUACGUG
RNAcentral lists this ribosomal RNA (506 nucleotides) under uncultured bacterium. RNAcentral describes it as "partial 16S ribosomal RNA". It matches the Rfam family "Bacterial small subunit ribosomal RNA", at positions 28 to 507 of the family's 1533-position model. The record is from RNAcentral.